Long non-coding RNA from Daktulosphaira vitifoliae (grape phylloxera), 953 nucleotides. RefSeq lists it as uncharacterized. The transcript is spliced from 3 exons. The record is from RefSeq and is a predicted model, not a curated record. Lineage: Eukaryota; Metazoa; Arthropoda; Insecta; Hemiptera; Phylloxeridae.
UACAUUUUUAUGUAUAUAUAUCUUAUAUUAAUAUGUUUAGAGUAACUGCACGCAUUAGGCGUUGGAUACGUUUGGAAGCAUUAUAUGUUAUUAUCAAUCGGCUCAGAAAUUAUUUUUUGAUCUGUUCUGGUCUGGUGUUUGGUGUUGACGCUACUUUUUAAAAUGCAAGAUGUACUUGUACAUAUAUUAUAUGUUAUGUAUUUCACCCCUCCCACCAAUAUCUAUUGAUGCAUGAAAUAGCAACUCAGCACAGCUUAAACAAAUUAGACCAGACAAUAUGAAGCUCUUUUGAAACUCUUAUGAUUGUAAGUCCAGCUGGAACUUACAAAAGGGAAUAUGUUCGAGUAAACCUAAAGAAACUAAAAAAAUUGUCAAUUGGUACCAUUGUAGCUUAUCAGGUAUCGUGUUGUUAUGUUGCGAUGCUAUCAACUUAGAUAAAGUCCCUUCAGUGUUUUUUAUGUACAACAGUUUUUUGUUGUUGCGUCGUUUGGCUAUGGAUGAUCGUUAUUUAGAACCUAAUGAGGAUUAAACCCGUUAGAGCUCCCCAUUCAUGGGUUCUAUUGGUAUGGUCCAGCGUUUUUGAGGAAACCAAUAAGUGAAUGGGAUUUUAAGCCGACUUCUGUAUCAGUUGAUCAGCUGCCAGAGAUCUGGCAGGUUCUUGUCUCAAUGGACUGGUAUUAUACGCCAGAGAUCAGACACCACUAAUGAGAAAAUGACAAGAAAAAUCUCGUUGACACCAACCCAACCCACUGGGCUACACCGACCCAAAAGUUUAAAUUAUUUAAUAUUAAAAAAAAAAUACUUAGUCUAGGCUAAUAACUCUGUUUGUCUAUAAAAAAAGUGCAUAUUUUGUAUUUACAGAUCUAAUAAUAUUUCUUAAGUAUUUACUAAGUAACAAAUAUCUUUAAUUACAACAAUGGAUAUUAUAAUUAUUAUAUUAUAUUAAGUAAUAU